GAUGAACGCUGGCGGCGUGCUUAACACAUGCAAGUCGAACGAUGAAGCCCAGCUUGCUGGGUGGAUUAGUGGCGAACGGGUGAGUAACACGUGAGUAACCUGCCCUUGACUCUGGGAUAAGCCUGGGAAACUGGGUCUAAUACUGGAUAUGACUUCUCAUCGCAUGGUGGGGGGUGGAAAGAUUUAUUGGUCUUGGAUGGACUCGCGGCCUAUCAGCUUGUUGGGGAGGUAAUGGCUCACCAAGGCGACGGCGGGUAGCCGGCCUGAGAGGGUGACCGGCCACACUGGGACUGAGACACGGCCCAGACUCCUACGGGAGGCAGCAGUGGGGAAUAUUGCACAAUGGGCGCAAGCCUGAUGCAGCGACGCCGCGUGAGGGAUGACGGCCUUCGGGUUGUAAACCUCUUUCAGUAGGGAAGAAGCGAGAGUGACGGUACCUGCAGAAGAAGCGCCGGCUAACUACGUG
This 466-nucleotide ribosomal RNA is filed under the name uncultured bacterium. RNAcentral's name for it is "partial 16S ribosomal RNA". It matches the Rfam family "Bacterial small subunit ribosomal RNA", at positions 28 to 507 of the family's 1533-position model. The record is from RNAcentral.